UACGGAGGGUGCAAGCGUUGUUCGGAAUCAUUGGGCGUAAAGGGCGCGUAGGCGGGACGUUAAGUCCGAUGUGAAAUCCCUCGGCUCAACUGAGGACGUGCAUCGGAUACUGGCGACCUUGAGUCCUGGAGAGGGUAGCGGAAUUCCCAGUGUAGAGGUGAAAUUCGUAGAUAUUGGGAGGAACACCGGUGGCGAAGGCGGCUACCUGGACAGUGACUGACGCUGAGGCGCGAAAGCGUGGGGAGCGAACAGG
Molecule: ribosomal RNA, 253 nt
Filed under: uncultured bacterium
Lineage: Bacteria
Description: partial 16S ribosomal RNA
Rfam family: Bacterial small subunit ribosomal RNA
Source: RNAcentral